GUUUGUAAGGACUAUUCCAUUAAAAUAGAGGGAGGAAGGUCGUAUGGAAAGUUCCAUUUCAGGACAUUGGGUUGUUGGUCAGUUGAGAUUGUAUAAAUAAAAAGGAGAUGUGGCAUUAUUUACAAUGAGACCAUUGUCCACCAUACACUAGGAUGUUGAUUUAUUGUAUGCAAAUUUCUUGAUUAGGACAUGGGUAGCAUUUUUUUAUAAAUCUACUAGUGAGAAAUAUGAGUUAAAUUUACGUAAUGAUUACUUCUCAUUAAAAUAACAGGUAGACGACUAUAGGUAAAAAGCGCAAAUGUCCGGUCAAUUUACAGGUGAAUCAAAAUUUUAAGCGCAAAUGUCCAUAGUAUUUGAAGCGCAAAUGUCCUAUCGUUUUAUAUGUAAAAAAGCGCAAAUGUCCUGUGCCCA
RNAcentral lists this long non-coding RNA (411 nucleotides) under Mytilus galloprovincialis (Mediterranean mussel). The record is from RNAcentral. Lineage: Eukaryota; Metazoa; Mollusca; Bivalvia; Mytilida; Mytilidae.